This is a long non-coding RNA of Hyla sarda, 1055 nucleotides long. RefSeq lists it as uncharacterized. The record is from RefSeq and is a predicted model, not a curated record. The transcript has 3 exons. Lineage: Eukaryota; Metazoa; Chordata; Amphibia; Anura; Hylidae.
AAGAUGUAGUGUGUAGCUGACUCAACGCUCUCUCCGUCAUACUCCGCAUACUAGGCUGUGUUUGGGACCAGAUUGCAGCAAUCGCAAUGGGCGUCCUCUGCCCUAUCUUCAGUAUUGUGUCCUUGAUUGUGAAUUUCCAUAACUCAAUAAAGAGUAAAUGUACAGGUAAGUUCUUACUAUUUUUAGGAGAAGACAAGUGCGAGUGUUUCAAGUGACAGAGAUAAGAAGUCAUAAGCUCGGAGUCAUCUUUCCCUAUAGUGGUGCUAUAUAUACAUUACUAUGCUAAAAAAAGGUGUACAAUACCAAUCUAAGAUGGUGCUGCCCAAGCCGUAUACGUUCCAUUGAAGCAACACCAACUUCAAACCAAACCACUUUCCGCUGAGUGACUUGAACUUUUGAUUCCCCCAAUGGCCCUUCUACGAGUUGGAUUAUGGCUGCAGUCAGAAGUGGAGAGUCUGAGACGCCUCUCGUCUCCCCAUCAAGACAAAGAAGAGGAGAGGUCCCAAGCAACAGACCCUCUUGCCAUUAGAUGGGAGUUGUGGUUGAGGAUACGGACACCAGAAAAGGAUUGUACUCUUGGAUUUUUGCUAUAGGCUGUCUAUGUGGGUCUAUGUUCUGUAUUUGGUUAUGCCAGAGACGACAAGUAUGGUAUAGGCAAAUUUGUUGGCAUAAGCUCCAUCCAAAAUUUUCAUUAUUGCGAAGCCCUAGCCCUUAUUCCCAAUAGUCUUCUGGGUCGGGGUUAGACAGUUUUUGGGCACAGAUAUAAUGUAUGACAGAAAUCAUAUGAUAAUUGGAUGUGGUAAUUGUAUUUACAGACAUUGAGAUCCAAGAGGACAAGUUAAUGAAUUACUUGGUUCCCCCGGUGAAGUCUGCAGCAUUACUGAGUACCGGCCGCGUCCUCAUUACACAGCGGCUCGUGUAUCUUACCUGUUCCCAGAGAGGAUCAUUAUUUGUGUACACUGAAGGCAUGUAAGACAAUGAGCCCGGGGGGACCGCGGCUUCCCGUCUAUAGCACCAUUACUGUCUGAUAUUUUGCGUGAAUCAAUCAUAAUAAA